CAGUAGCCGCGGUAAAACGUAGGGUGCAAGCGUUAAUCGGAAUUACUGGGCGUAAAGCGUGCGCAGGCGGUGGUUUAAGUCCGUCGUGAAAGCCCUGGGCUCAACCUGGGAAUUGCAGUGGAUACUGGGUCACUAGAGUGUGGUAGAGGAUAGUGGAAUUUCCGGUGUAGCAGUGAAAUGCGUAGAGAUCGGAAGGAACAUCUGUGGCGAAGGCGACUAUCUGGGCCAACACUGACACUGAGGCACGAAAGCGUGGGGAGCAAACAGGAUUAGAUACCCGCGUAGUCCCUGUCUCUUAUAC
RNAcentral lists this ribosomal RNA (301 nucleotides) under uncultured bacterium. Its description in RNAcentral is "partial 16S ribosomal RNA". It matches the Rfam family "Bacterial small subunit ribosomal RNA", at positions 509 to 807 of the family's 1533-position model. The record is from RNAcentral.